CGAAGCCGGUAGUCAAUCGUAUAAAAGCCGACUAUAUGCGGUUUAGUGCAUCAAACUCCACAGUGCUGAACAUAUAGUCAAAACUGAACUUGAAGGUAAGACGCGGGGCAGUGGUUUUAUCGGAAAUCCGGGUGAACAAAUAUAAACAAGUGGAAGCUAAGACACCGCCGUCAUCAUGGUUGCUGUGGCUAAUGUGUUUGGAUUGGCGCUACUCUUAAUUCUCUCCACUGCCGGCCCCGUAUCGGGAUUUCUAGGAAGCGGUGGUAUCAUUGACAUCAUCAUAGACAGAGUU
Lingula anatina is the source of this 292-nucleotide long non-coding RNA. NCBI's taxonomy places the organism in Eukaryota, Metazoa, Brachiopoda, Lingulata, Lingulida, Lingulidae. The record is from RefSeq and is a predicted model, not a curated record.